This 606-nucleotide ribosomal RNA is filed under the name uncultured bacterium. Its description in RNAcentral is "bacterial SSU rRNA". It matches the Rfam family "Bacterial small subunit ribosomal RNA", at positions 232 to 836 of the family's 1533-position model. The record is from RNAcentral.
CGCGGCCUAUCAGCUUGUUGGUGGGGUGAUGGCCUACCAAGGCGGCGACGGGUAGCCGGCCUGAGAGGGUGUCCGGCCACACUGGGACUGAGAUACGGCCCAGACUCCUACGGGAGGCAGCAGUGGGGAAUAUUGCACAAUGGGCGCAAGCCUGAUGCAGCGACGCCGCGUGGGGGAUGACGGCCUUCGGGUUGUAAACCUCUUUCACCAUCGGCGAAGCCCGUAGCUUUUGUUGUGGGUGACGGUAGGUGGAGAAGAAGCACCGGCCAACUACGUGCCAGCAGCCGCGGUAAUACGUAGGGUGCGAGCGUUGUCCGGAAUUACUGGGCGUAAAGAGCUCGUAGGUGGUUUGUCGCGUUGUCCGUGAAAUUCCCUGGCUUAACUGGGGGCGUGCGGGCGAUACGGGCAGACUGGAGUACUGCAGAGGAGACUGGAAUUCCUGGUGUAGCGGUGGAAUGCGCAGAUAUCAGGAGGAACACCGGUGGCGAAGGCGGGUCUCUGGGCAGUAACUGACGCUGAGGAGCGAAAGCGUGGGGAGCGAACAGGAUUAGAUACCCUGGUAGUCCACGCCGUAAACGGUGGGUACUAGGUGUGGGUUUCCUUCCU